CAGGGUAAAGCUUAAGAGAAAGCGUUUCACUUACACUGAAAAGAAAGUUGUGCGAGUCAAUAUAUUCUGA
This 70-nucleotide transfer RNA is filed under the name Serratella sp. Liaoning-2019. RNAcentral describes it as "tRNA-Val". It matches the Rfam family "tRNA". From Rfam's summary of the family: Transfer RNA (tRNA) molecules are approximately 80 nucleotides in length. The record is from RNAcentral. Lineage: Eukaryota; Metazoa; Arthropoda; Insecta; Ephemeroptera; Ephemerellidae.